GUGGCUUAGUGGUUAGAGUGUUGAACUAGGACCUAGGAGGCCGCGGGUUCGAAUCCCCACUCA
Molecule: transfer RNA, 63 nt
Filed under: Podarcis lilfordi (Lilford's wall lizard)
Lineage: Eukaryota; Metazoa; Chordata; Lepidosauria; Squamata; Lacertidae
Description: tRNA.Pro
Source: RNAcentral